GAUGAACGCUGGCGGCAUGCCUAACACAUGCAAGUCGAGCGAACGGACGAGAAGCUUUCUCCCCUGAUUGUAGCGGCGGACGGGUGAGUAACACGUGGAUAACCUACCUAUAAGACUGGGGUAAUUUCGGGAGACCGGAUCUAAUACCGGAUAAUAUUUUGAACCGCAUGAUCCAAAAGUUAAAGACGUUCUUGCUUACACUUAUAGCUUGAUCCGCGCUGCAUUAGCUAGGUGGUAAGGUAACUGCUUACCAAGGCUACGAUGCAUACCCGACCUGAAGGGGAGGAUGGACACCUGGGCACUGAGGAACGGCACAGACUCCUACGGGAGGACGCAGUCGGGAAUCUUACGCAAUGGGCGAAAGCCUGACGUAGCAAAGCCGGGUGAGUGAUGAAGGUCUUCGGAUCGGAAAAUUAUGUUAGUCGGGAAGAACAAAAGUGUAAGUAACUGUGAACAUCUUGACGGUACCUAAUCAAAAAGCCACGGCUAACUACGUG
Molecule: ribosomal RNA, 497 nt
Filed under: uncultured bacterium
Lineage: Bacteria
Description: partial 16S ribosomal RNA
Rfam family: Bacterial small subunit ribosomal RNA
Source: RNAcentral